CUUCGCCAACUGCUGGUGCAAGUGGUGGCAGUGGUGUCAGUGGUGCU
RNAcentral lists this small RNA (47 nucleotides) under Drosophila erecta. RNAcentral's name for it is "GG26609". The record is from RNAcentral. Lineage: Eukaryota; Metazoa; Arthropoda; Insecta; Diptera; Drosophilidae.